GAUAUGGCUCAGUGGUUAAGAGCACUUGUUGCUUUCCCAGAGGACCUGGGUUCAAUUCCCAGCAUC
RNAcentral lists this transfer RNA (66 nucleotides) under Rattus norvegicus (Norway rat). It matches the Rfam family "tRNA". From Rfam's summary of the family: Transfer RNA (tRNA) molecules are approximately 80 nucleotides in length. Their secondary structure includes four short double-helical elements and three loops (D, anti-codon, and T loops). The record is from Rfam by way of RNAcentral. Lineage: Eukaryota; Metazoa; Chordata; Mammalia; Rodentia; Muridae.